UUAAUAACAGAAUUGAACUAUUUAAUCAUUUAUCAUAAACCAUUAAAUGACAUACAUAGUCGCAAGCAGCCAAUAAUUAUACAUUUCCCAAAACCAGUAGUACAGAGUCAAAAGCACUACUAAAACACACUAGAAUUUUUAAAUACAAUACUGUUUUAAAUUACAAUUUAACAGUAGUAUAAUAAAAUAAGAUGAUGAUUCCGAGGUCUGCGAACGUCAAGCAGGUAUACCUUGAAGUCUCCCAUCGCGCAGAUGCAACUCUCAACAACACAAUCAAAAUACCUGGAUCUGCAAAAAAAUGUGCACAAGCGUAGCAUGAGUACACCACAAUGGUACCCGGUAAGUAUCAAGCCUAACCUCGGUAGAGUAGUGACGAGUCCAGGACACCUACUAGACAUAGAAAUCUAUUCAAGAUAUACAUAGCUAACAAUGGAAAGAACAUCAAUGUAAGACCAACGACGAAAAAAUUAUUUAUUUACAACUAACAAUGAAGUAAUAGAAACCUAAAUGGUAGCAAGUAGCAAACGAGUAAUAAAGAAACAACAUAAUCAGAACAUCGAUGAGAUAUAAAUGAACCCAAAUAAGGAAAAACGAAUGACAACUCAAAUAAUCAAAUCGUUUCCAAUGCAUGCACUUACAUCAAGAAUUACCUCGAGGCACCACAACUUAUAAAUCACAAGUCAUGAACCACAAUUUCCAAAUCUUAUACAUAUGGCACCUCGCACCCAUAAUAACAAUCACCUUCGCACGACAAAGCCCACAUGCUACCAUGUACUUUGCAACCAUGAUAAAUAUUAAUUUAGAUGAACAAAAGCUAUAGGUAAACACCAUAAAACAUAAUAACAAUCUUGAAUAAAGUAAGGUGUCAAACGAAAUAAUGAGUUUAUUUUAAAAAUCAAGUAAAGUAAAAUAAUAUAUAAUUUGCAUGAAACAAAGUAAAAGAUGGGUUUAGUUUAGAAAUCAAUAAAAUUGAGUAAAAGUAUCAUUUUUAAACAAAGCAAAACAUAAGUUAAAUUAACGAAUUAAAUAUAUAAUUUGUUAAGGAAAAACAAGAUAACAAUUUUAAGUAAGGUAUGUCACACCUCCUCUUUACCUACACCCCCGGAAGGGAGUAUAUAAAGGGAGUUGUUUCCAACUUAAAGUGACAAUUGAAAUGGGACCAUUUUAUAAAAAAGAAAUUCAGAGUCGCCACUUGGGAUACUUUAUGGUGUCCUAAGCCACCAGUUUAAAUCCUGAAUCGAGGAAAGAUUAACUCUGUAUUACAGUCCGCGAACACAGAAAUCCGGGUAAGGAAUUCUGUUAACCUGGGAGAAGGUGUUAGGCAUUCCCGAGUUCUGUGGUUCUAGCACGGUCGCUCAACUGUUACAAUUGGCAUAUUAUUCGAUUUUAAAACACUUUUGAACCUAUGUGCAUUUACUUUAAACCGCUUUUAAUUACUUUAAGGAAGAUUUCAAUGCCAUCUAGAACAUGUCUUUAGACCGCGCCACAUGAAAUGCACCCGCAAUCCGAAACACAUUUUAUUCAAUAUUGUUAGGAUUUGGAUUUGGGUCACAUGAAAUGCACACCCGAGUUUAGGAAGGUAAUAUUAUUAAAAUAACGAGCCUAAAGCAACUACGCGUUUUUAACUUUGCGAGAGCCAUGGGAAAUUUGCUAAAUGGCGCGCCUCGAGUUCUAAGGAUUUAAAAGAAAUAAAUAAAUGAGGGUCAUGCAUUUGAGAUUUUAUUUGGCACGACACGCCUCAAUUUAUUCUAACCAAAAGGUUUUUAAACUAACUCAUGAGGGCCAUAAAUUGUUAUUGGUUUUGAAUGACACCCCUCACUUGAUAAUAAAACUAGAUAAAAUGAAAACUCGAUUCAUGUCUCGUAUUAACCACCCGCACUUAACGAUCAAACGGUAAUAUGAAAGUGCUGCAUAUUUCUCAUUUUAACAGUCCUUUACGAUGCACUCUAACUAAUUAACAUUGCUGAAUGCUAAAUGCAAUUAAGAGUUAGCUCAGAAAGCUUACAUAAGAAAAUUAAUUACUUAAACAAGAGGCUUGGACCCACAAUAAAUAACGGAAGAUGAGUCAAUGAAGGUGGAACAAGUCCAAAUCUCUGUUGUGAAUAUUCUCAGACCAGGGCCCAAAAUGAGCCCAAGUAUAACAUAAGAGAGGACACUCAAAGGAGUAGUAUCACCCUCUCAGACCCAGCGUUAAGCUCUCAUUGCCUAGGCCAAACGUUAUGAUUCAACGUUCCAAACCAACAAUUGCUUCACCACACGUAAUGGCUAUCAGUGAUACCACAGGAGACCUGAGACUAAGCCUAAUAUAUUUGCUUUUGAGUUUUUAACUAUUCAGGCAUAGAAAAAAUAGGCUAACAUUCUGAAUUCAAUGUUUCUCAAAAUCAGAGAAGUACUUUGGUAAUCAUGACUCACAUUCCAAAUUUACUUGAAUCUACCCUCAAUACAACAGAUGUAACUCCAAACCUACUUGCCAAAACUAGACAUGCAGACAAAGCUCAACUUGGUUAAAUCAACACAAAUGACAAUCUAAGGUUCAACCUCUAACAGAUUCGAAAGGAAAACAGAGCUGAAGCAACAUUAAUCCUCAGCAAAACUAAACAAAGUCCAGAAUACGCAAACAACCAAAUCAAACCUUUGUUGCAACAGUCCUAGAAAUCUCAUGCUAAUAUACAGUGACAAGAACUAAAUUUGCUGAAACAUAACAUUAAGGAGAAAUAUAACUGAAACAUAAAUAGGUUAACACUAUGCUUUAAUCCUCCUUCUUUUCAUUUCAUUUCUUCCAAUCCACAUUCACAAUCAAUAGAGCUUUUACAGUGUGUACCUAGAUACAAACCAAAGAACUACAGAAUUUCAGCAGAGGAGAGUGGUAUCAGCAGUAGUUUGGCAGCAGAAACAACCAGUAAAAUCAACAAUUUCAGUCCAUUUUUGAAAUCCACAACCAGCAAAAUGACAGAUCCUUUUCAAAUUCCAGAAAAUUAGCCCCAAAUUCUAAUUCAAACCAUGCUUUUUUUAAAAAAAAACUCCAAAUGAAUUACAAGUUGCCUCAGACAUUGAAAACUUCAGGAAUCAGUGAAGGGAAUGCAAUGGAAUAGUAUUUUUCCCCUCAAAGAUCUAGCCGUUUUGAUGUUUUCAGAUUCUUAUCUCUUCAGCUCUUCCUUGAAAGGCAAGAUAGAGAUGCCUUUAUAGGCAAGGACUAGGGCAGCCUAUUAGAGACUCAAUUUUGCUCUUAGGCCCCUUUUGAAUUUUCUUUUUUGCUUAUCAACCCCCAGUCAAUUUUUCUUUUUGAUCAACCAACCUUAGUCCAAUUUCAGUUUUAUCAGACAAUUCCCCUUCCCCAGCUUCCUAGAAGCUUUCCUUUCUUGUUACAAAAGAUUCCCCAUUUACAAUAUCCAAUUUACCCAUUAAGCCUCAGUUAUUUACCUUUCAACUCAUGGGUUGACUUAAACCCAAACCCACACCUAACCCAUGAGCUGGACAACCCUCCCCUCCCCUCCCCUCUAUGGGCUCCUGACCUUCGGAUCCCACACCCUAAUUUGAAAUAGUCGAACCCAAAAGCAAACAGGCCGGGAGAGUUAUAAACUCCUGAUAUUGUGAGUCCAAUGAAACCAAAAUUAAACAAAUUUUAGCAAAAUCAAACAAUGACAACAAAUGGCCUAAUAACAAUGGUCGAACUAUGACCCCAAUCUUAACAUACGAGCAAAAUAAAUUGAAAUAGAAUUUAGAAAGAAAAGACAGGAAUCAGAAAUAAACGAAGAGAUGAAAGACACCAAGGAUGGAAACAAGAACAAAAGAGGAGAAAUACCUAAAAGGCCAACAAGCCUGUAUGGACCUCCGACGUCUCUGAUUUAGACCAAAAGUAGUAUUAUCCGCAUGCUCUCCUCGAGAACGAACGGACAAUACUAGUUUCAGUCCAAAUCAUUCUUGAAAAUCUGGGAAAAUUCUCUUUUCUUCUUCUCUCUUUUUAGAUCUAAAAUUAACUGGAUUCGAUGGGGGGUUUUGUAGAGAUUUGCACCAGCAUAGGACUUGAAGAAUUAUGGGGAGUAUGGGGUUGAAUUUUGGUGGUGUCUGGGAGGUCAAUCGCUUGUGAAAAUGGUGGAAUUCCUAAGGCUAUACUAGGGUUGAAGACUGAUAGAGAUGAGAGAGAUGAGAACAAUACAGGGGUGCUUGGGUGGACUGAAUAUUCUCUGAAGUUUCGGACAUUAUUAAGG
RNAcentral lists this long non-coding RNA (4208 nucleotides) under Nicotiana tabacum (common tobacco). RNAcentral describes it as "long non-coding RNA (NTAB_LNC013600)". Lineage: Eukaryota; Viridiplantae; Streptophyta; Magnoliopsida; Solanales; Solanaceae. The record is from RNAcentral.